RNAcentral lists this ribosomal RNA (698 nucleotides) under Hungatella hathewayi. RNAcentral describes it as "partial 23S ribosomal RNA". It matches the Rfam family "Bacterial large subunit ribosomal RNA", at positions 2158 to 2859 of the family's 2925-position model. The record is from RNAcentral. Lineage: Bacteria; Bacillati; Bacillota; Clostridia; Lachnospirales; Lachnospiraceae.
AGAAGGUAGGACGCCAGUCUUACUGGAGCCAUUGUUGGGAUACCACCCUUGCGGUAUUGGGUUUCUAACCUGCGGCCAUGACCUGGCCGGGGGACAAUGUCAGGUGGGGAGUUUGACUGGGGCGGUCGCCUCCGAAAGGGUAUCGGAGGCGCUCAAAGGUUCCCUCAGAAUGGACGGAAACCAUUCGAAGAGUGCAAAGGCAUAAGGGAGCUUGACUGCGACACCGACGGGUGGAGCAGGUACGAAAGUAGGACUUAGUGAUCCGGUGGUAUAAAGUGGGAUUGCCAUCGCUCAACGGAUAAAAGCUACCCUGGGGAUAACAGGCUUAUCACUCCCAAGAGUUCACAUCGACGGAGUGGUUUGGCACCUCGAUGUCGGCUCAUCGCAUCCUGGGGCUGAAGUAGGUCCCAAGGGUUGGGCUGUUCGCCCAUUAAAGCGGUACGCGAGCUGGGUUCAGAACGUCGUGAGACAGUUCGGUCCCUAUCCGGCGUGGGCGUAGGAUAUUUGAGAGGAGCUGUCCUUAGUACGAGAGGACCGGGAUGGACUGACCUCUGGUGUACCGGUUGGGUAUCAAACCCAUGGCCGGGUAGCCAAGUCGGGAAGGGAUAAACGCUGAAGGCAUCUAAGCGUGAAGCCCCCCUCAAGAUGAGAUAUCCCAUCGCAAGAGUAAGACCCCUUGAAGACGACGAGGUAGAUAG